RNAcentral lists this ribosomal RNA (1279 nucleotides) under metagenome. RNAcentral's name for it is "bacterial LSU rRNA". It matches the Rfam family "Bacterial large subunit ribosomal RNA", at positions 1669 to 2925 of the family's 2925-position model. The record is from RNAcentral.
CCGUAGAGAAUACCAAGGCGAUCGGGUGAACUGUGGUUAAGGAACUCGGCAAAUUGCCCCCGUAACUUCGGGAGAAGGGGGGCCUCCGCUGGUGAUCAGACUUGCUUUGUGAGCUGGUGGGGGUCGCAGAGGCCAGGGGGAAGCGACUGUUUACUAAAAACACAGGUCCGUGCGAAGUCGUAAGACGAUGUAUACGGACUGACGCCUGCCCGGUGCUGGAACGUUAAGGGGACCGGUUAGCGCAUCUUCGGGUGUGCGAGGCUGAGAACUUAAGCGCCAGUAAACGGCGGUGGUAACUAUAACCAUCCUAAGGUAGCGAAAUUCCUUGUCGGGUAAGUUCCGACCUGCACGAAUGGCGUAACGACUUCCCCGCUGUCUCAACCGCAGACCCGGCGAAAUUGCACUACGAGUAAAGAUGCUUGUUACGCGCAGCAGGACGGAAAGACCCCGGGACCUUCACUACAGCUUGACAUUGGCGUUUGGAACGUCUUGUGUAGGAUAGGUGGGAGACUGUGAAGCUGUCACGCUAGUGGCGGUGGAGUCAUUGGUGAAAUACCACUCUGGUCGUUUUGAACGUCUAACUUCGGUCCGUGAUCCGGAUCAGGGACAGUGUCUGGUGGGUAGUUUAACUGGGGCGGUUGCCUCCUAAAGAGUAACGGAGGCGCCCAAAGGUUCCCUCAGCCUGGUUGGUAAUCAGGUGUCGAGUGUAAGUGCACAAGGGAGCUUGACUGUGAGACCGACGGGUCGAGCAGGAGCGAAAGCUGGGACUAGUGAUCCGGCGGUGGCAUGUGGAAGCGCCGUCGCUCAACGGCUAAAAGGUACCCCGGGGAUAACAGGCUGAUCUUCCCCAAGAGUCCAUAUCGACGGGAUGGUUUGGCACCUCGAUGUCGGCUCGUCGCAUCCUGGGGCUGGAGUAGGUCCCAAGGGUUGGGCUGUUCGCCCAUUAAAGCGGUACGCGAGCUGGGUUUAGAACGUCGCGAGACAGUUCGGUCCCUAUCCGCUGCGCGCGCAGGAGACUUGAAAGGAGCUGUCCCUAGUACGAGAGGACCGGGACGGACGAACCUCUGGUGUGCCAGUUGUUCCGCCAGGAGCAUGGCUGGUUGGCUACGUUCGGAAGGGAUAACCGCUGAAAGCAUCUAAGCGGGAAGCUCGCCUUGAGAUGAGGUCUCCCACCACGUGAGUGGGUAAGGCCCCCGGGAGACGACCGGGUUGAUAGGCCGGAGGUGGAAGCACGGUAACGUGUGGAGCUGACCGGUACUAAUAGGCCGAGGACUUGACC